Molecule: ribosomal RNA, 497 nt
Filed under: uncultured bacterium
Lineage: Bacteria
Description: partial 16S ribosomal RNA
Rfam family: Bacterial small subunit ribosomal RNA
Source: RNAcentral
GAUGAACGCUGGCGGCGUGCCUAAUACAUGCAAGUCGAGCGAACAGACGAGGAGCUUGCUCCUCUGACGUUAGCGGCGGACGGGUGAGUAACACGUGGAUAACCUACCUAUAAGACUGGGAUAACUUCGGGAAACCGGAGCUAAUACCGGAUAAUAUAUUGAACCGCAUGGUUCAAUAGUGAAAGACGGUUUUGCUGUCACUUAUGGAUGGAUCCGCGCCGCAUUAGCUAGUUGGUAAGGUAACGGCUUACCAAGGCAACGAUGCGUAGCCGACCUGAGAGGGUGAUCGGCCACACUGGAACUGAGACACGGUCCAGACUCCUACGGGAGGCAGCAGUAGGGAAUCUUCCGCAAUGGGCGAAAGCCUGACGGAGCAACGCCGCGUGAAUGAUGAAGGUCUUCGGAUCGUAAAACUCUGUUAUUAGGGAAGAACAAAUGUGUAAGUAACUAUGCACGUCUUGACGGUACCUAAUCAGAAAGCCACGGCUAACUACGUG